GGAAUCUUCCACAAUGGACGAAAGUCUGAUGGAGCAACGCCGCGUGAGUGAAGAAGGUUUUCGGAUCGUAAAACUCUGUUGGUAGAGAAGAACGUUGGUGAGAGUGGAAAGCUCAUCAAGUGACGGUAACUACCCAGAAAGGGACGGCUAACUACGUGCCAGCAGCCGCGGUAAUACGUAGGUGGCAAGCGUUAUCCGGAUUCAUUGGGCGUAAAGCGAGCGCAGGCGGUUUUUUAAGUCUGAUGUGAAAGCCUUCGGCUUAACCGAAGAAGUGCAUCGGAAACUGGGAAACUUGAGUGCAGAAGAGGACAGUGGAACUCCAUGUGUAGCGGUGAAAUGCGUAGAUAUAUGGAAGAACACCAGUGGCGAAGGCGGCUGUCUGGUCUGUAACUGACGCUGAGGCUCGAAAGCAUGGGUAGCGAACA
This 425-nucleotide ribosomal RNA is filed under the name uncultured bacterium. RNAcentral describes it as "bacterial SSU rRNA". It matches the Rfam family "Bacterial small subunit ribosomal RNA", at positions 358 to 774 of the family's 1533-position model. The record is from RNAcentral.